CUACGGGGGGCAGCAGUGGGGAAUAUUGCACAAUGGGGGAAACCCUGAUGCAGCAACGCCGCGUGGAGGAUGACACAUUUCGGUGCGUAAACUCCUUUUAUAUAGGAAGAUAAUGACGGUACUAUAUGAAUAAGCGCCGGCUAACUCCGUGCCAGCAGCCGCGGUAAUACGGAGGGCGCAAGCGGUACUCGGAAUCACUGGGCGUAAAGAGCGUGUAGGCGGAUAGAUAAGUCAGGAGUGAAAUCCUAUGGCUCAACCAUAGAACUGCUUUUGAAACUGUUAACCUAGAGUGUGGGAGAGGUAGAUGGAAUUUCUGGUGUAGGGGUAAAAUCCGUAGAGAUCAGAAGGAAUACCGAUUGCGAAGGCGAUCUACUGGAACAUAACUGACGCUGAGACGCGAAAGCGUGGGGAGCAAACAGGAUUAGAUACCCGAGUAGUC
Molecule: ribosomal RNA, 439 nt
Filed under: uncultured bacterium
Lineage: Bacteria
Description: partial 16S ribosomal RNA
Rfam family: Bacterial small subunit ribosomal RNA
Source: RNAcentral